Non-coding RNA from Meleagris gallopavo (turkey), 973 nucleotides. NCBI's taxonomy places the organism in Eukaryota, Metazoa, Chordata, Aves, Galliformes, Phasianidae. The record is from RefSeq and is a predicted model, not a curated record.
ACCCCAACCAAACUACUUUGGGUUUUUCUCCUGAAUGUCACAGGAGAAGGACCCCACCCAGAACAAUAAGCUGCAACGUCCUUCUCCAAGCUGUAGAUACGCAAAAACCUCCCCUCCGUUUUACUGCAUCGUUGGCAUGUUGCUAAUUCAGAUACCCUGCUGCCGACUGAGUUAACAGUGAAAUCUCAGUUGCACAAAUAAAACAACUCUUACAGCUUUGGAAAUUAUGCAUCUCCUGAGGACAACUUUUGGGGUUUCCUAGAAGUUUUUCUAUCAGACACCACAUAUAAUCUGUUUACCUCUCAGUCGUUGCCAUCUGGUUUUGCCCUACCUAGUAGCUGAAGGCUUUCUCAGCUCGAAGCACAUAGAAAAAAUGCAUUUUAUUGUCUUGAAAUUUCUUUUUUAAAUGAGUUUGAAACCAGCUCUAAAGGGGAGAUAACAAAAAACAGCAAAAUCAGAGGAGCAGAGGUGUCUGGCAAGAACCUUAGGAAGCCUACUGGAAAGAAGGUUCUCAGUGGAUCUGGUUCCAUCACCACUACGUUUCAACCAGAUGCUGUCAUUCAGCAUUUCAAAGAGAAUCAGAAAGGUAACCUGAUGAAGACCUUAAAGAUAUAAAGGCCAACCAUGGAGGCAGGGGGUACUUAAAAACAGAUGCGAUGGAGUGAAUCCAGGUUUGCCCGUGAAACUUUGUUUUUUACAUGAGAAGAACGACAGCUUCAGUAUAUAAUAAAUCGCGAAUUUUUUAAGAGAACAAAAAGAGGUCUUUAAGCCGACCGAGAAAGAACGCAGCCAAAAGGAUCAAGCUGACCAUCGCAGGGCUAACUUACGAAGACCUCGCUGUUCGGUUCCACAUGAAAGACGCUCAAAAGGCAGGGCAACGGACGACAACACAGAGCCCUGGCACAGACUGGAGGCGCACCGACAGAGCAGACAGAGCUACGGGUGCAGCACCGCCGCACCGCUCUCCUCACGG